Molecule: ribosomal RNA, 251 nt
Filed under: uncultured prokaryote
Description: partial 16S rRNA
Rfam family: Bacterial small subunit ribosomal RNA
Source: RNAcentral
ACAGAGGUCCCGAGCGUUGUUCGGAUUCACUGGGCGUAAAGGGUGCGUAGGUGGUGAGGUAAGUCGGAUGUGAAAUCUCGGAGCUCAACUCCGAAAUGGCAUUGGAUACUACCUUGCUUGAGGGUUGGAGGGGGGACUGGAAUACUUGGUGUAGCAGUGAAAUGCGUAGAUAUCAAGUGGAACACCAGUGGCGAAGGCGAGUACCUGGACAACUCCUGAGACUGAGGCACGAAAGCUAGGGGAGCAAACAG